AGAGCGAACGCUGGCGGCAGGCCUAACACAUGCAAGUCGAACGGACCCUUCGGGGUUAGUGGCGGACGGGUGAGUAACACGUGGGAACGUGCCUUUAGGUUCGGAAUAGCUCCUGGAAACGGGUGGUAAUGCCGAAUGUGCCCUUCGGGGGAAAGAUUUAUCGCCUUUAGAGCGGCCCGCGUCUGAUUAGCUUGUUGGUGAGGUAAUGGCUCACCAAGGCUACGAUCAGUAGCUGGUCUGAGAGGAUGACCAGCCACAUUGGGACUGAGACACGGCCCAAACUCCUACGGGAGGCAGCAGUGGGGAAUCUUGCGCAAUGGGCGAAAGCCUGACGCAGCCAUGCCGCGUGUAUGAUGAAGGUCUUAGGAUUAGUAAAAUACUUUACACCGGUGAAGAUAAAUGACUGUAGCGGAGAAGAAGCCCCGGCUAACUUCGUGCCAGCAGCCGC
RNAcentral lists this ribosomal RNA (448 nucleotides) under uncultured soil bacterium. Its description in RNAcentral is "bacterial SSU rRNA". It matches the Rfam family "Bacterial small subunit ribosomal RNA", at positions 26 to 518 of the family's 1533-position model. The record is from RNAcentral.